Molecule: non-coding RNA, 103 nt
Filed under: Gorilla gorilla gorilla (western lowland gorilla)
Lineage: Eukaryota; Metazoa; Chordata; Mammalia; Primates; Hominidae
Source: RNAcentral
GGCUGGUUUGAAUGCAGCGGUGUUUACAAAUAAUUAGUCACAACCAGUUACAGAUUUCUUUGUUCCUCUCCACGCACACUACACUUCACUUGACCAGACUUGA